UGAGUACGAGCUGCUACGGCAGCGAAGUGGAUGAUGUCAAGCUUCCAAGAAAAGCCCUAUACCCGUUAAGGCAUGACGGCCUGUACCCGAAACCGACACAGGUGGGGUGGUAGAGAAUACCGAGGGGCGCGAGAUAACUCUCUCUAAGGAACUCGGCAAAAUGGCCCCGUAACUUCGGGAGAAGGGGUGCCACCGCGAGGUGGUCGCAGUGAAGAGGCCCAGGCGACUGUUUACCAAAAACACAGGUCUCCGCUAAGUCGCAAGACGAUGUAUGGGGGCUGACGCCUGCCCAGUGCCGGAAGGUUAAGGAAGCCGGUCAGCGUAAGCGAAGCUGGCGACUGAAGCCCCGGUGAACGGCGGCCGUAACUAUAACGGUCCUAAGGUAGCGAAAUUCCUUGUCGGGUAAGUUCCGACCCGCACGAAAGGCGUAACGAUCUGGGCGCUGUCUCGGAGAGAGGCUCGGCGAAAUAGAAUUGUCUGUGAAGAUGCGGACUACGUGCACCCGGACAGAAAGACCCUAUGAAGCUUUACUGUAGCUUGGUAUUUGCUCGGGCUCUGAAUGCGCAGGAUAGGUGGGAGGCUUUGAUCCAUUGCUUGUGGGUGAUGGUGAGCCACUGGUGAGAUACCACUCUUUCAGAGCUAGGGUUCUAACGGUCACCCGUUAUCCGGGGACCGGACAGUAUCAGGUGGGCAGUUUGACUGGGGCGGUCGCCUCCUAAAAGGUAACGGAGGCGCGCAAAGGUUCCCUCAUGCUGGUUGGAAAUCAGCCGACGAGUGCAAAGGCAGAAGGGAGCUUGACUGUGAGACCAACAAGUCGAACAGGGACGAAAGUCGGCCUUAGUGAUCCGACGGUUCUGAGUGGAAGGGCCGUCGCUCAACGGAUAAAAGUUACUCUAGGGAUAACAGGCUGAUCUCCCCCAAGAGUUCACAUCGACGGGGAGGUUUGGCACCUCGAUGUCGGCUCAUCGCAACCUGGGGCUGAAGUCGGUCCCAAGGGUUGGGCUGUUCGCCCAUUAAAGCGGUACGCGAGCUGGGUUCAGAACUUCGUGAGACAGUUCGGUCCAUAUCCGGUGCAUGCGCAGGAACAUUGAGAGGAUUUCUCCCUAGUACGAGAGGACCGGGAGGAACGCACCUCUGGUGUACCAGUUAUCGUGCCAACGGUAAACGCUGGGUAGCCAUGUGCGGAGCGGAUAAUCGCUGAAAGCAUC
This 1208-nucleotide ribosomal RNA is filed under the name metagenome. Its description in RNAcentral is "bacterial LSU rRNA". It matches the Rfam family "Bacterial large subunit ribosomal RNA", at positions 1564 to 2781 of the family's 2925-position model. The record is from RNAcentral.